RNAcentral lists this unclassified non-coding RNA (165 nucleotides) under soil metagenome. RNAcentral's name for it is "partial internal transcribed spacer 1". The record is from RNAcentral.
CACAAACAUAUGAAGGUGGGGUGCUGGCAACAGCACUCUGCUGAAUUAUUUCACCCAUUGUCUUUUGCGGACUUCUUGUUUCCUUGGUGGAGUUCGCUCGCCACCUAGGACCCAACAUAAACCUUUUGUUAUUGCAAUCAGCGUCAGUACAAUAAUUGAAUAUUA